RNAcentral lists this ribosomal RNA (405 nucleotides) under uncultured prokaryote. Its description in RNAcentral is "bacterial SSU rRNA". It matches the Rfam family "Bacterial small subunit ribosomal RNA", at positions 355 to 774 of the family's 1533-position model. The record is from RNAcentral.
UGGGGAAUUUUCCGCAAUGGGCGAAAGCCUGACGGAGCAACGCCGCGUGAGGGAUGAAGGCCUCUGGGCUGUAAACCUCUUUUCUCAAGGAGGAAUAUCUGACGUUACUUAGGAGACGAAGCAUCGGCUAACUCCGUGCCAGCAGCCGCGGUAAGACGGAGGAUGCAAGUGUUAUCCGGAAUCACUGGGCGUAAAGCGUCUGUAGGUGGUUUGAUAAGUCAACUGUUAAAUCUUGAGGCUCAACCUCAAAACCGCAGUCGAAACUAUUAGACUAGAGUAUAGUAGGGGUAAAGGGAAUUUCCAGUGGAGCGGUGAAAUGCGUAGAGAUUGGAAAGAACACCGAUGGCGAAGGCACUUUACUGGGCUAUUACUAACACUCAGAGACGAAAGCUAGGGUAGCAAAUG